UACAGAGGUCCCAAGCGUUGUUCGGAUUCACUGGGCGUAAAGGGUGCGUAGGCGGUGGGGUGAGUUUGGGGUGAAAUCUCCGGGCCCAACCCGGAAAAUGCCUUGAAUACUAUCCUGCUUGAGGAUCGGAGGGGAGACUGGAAUUCUCGGUGUAGCAGUGAAAUGCGUAGAUAUCGAGAGGAACACCAGUGGCGAAGGCGGGUCUCUGGGCCGAUACUGACGCUGAGGAGCGAAAGCGUGGGGAGCGAACAGG
RNAcentral lists this ribosomal RNA (253 nucleotides) under uncultured bacterium. RNAcentral describes it as "partial 16S ribosomal RNA". It matches the Rfam family "Bacterial small subunit ribosomal RNA", at positions 524 to 776 of the family's 1533-position model. The record is from RNAcentral.